CAUGCAAGUCGAGGGGCAGCAUGGUCUUAGCUUGCUAAGGCUGAUGGCGACCGGCGCACGGGUGAGUAACACGUAUCCAACCUGCCGUCUACUCUUGGCCAGCCUUCUGAAAGGAAGAUUAAUCCAGGAUGGGAUCAUGAGUUCACAUGUCCGCAUGAUUAAAGGUAUUUUCCGGUAGACGAUGGGGAUGCGUUCCAUUAGAUAGUAGGCGGGGUAACGGCCCACCUAGUCAACGAUGGAUAGGGGUUCUGAGAGGAAGGUCCCCCACAUUGGAACUGAGACACGGUCCAAACUCCUACGGGAGGCAGCAGUGAGGAAUAUUGGUCAAUGGGCGAUGGCCUGAACCAGCCAAGUAGCGUGAAGGAUGACUGCCCUAUGGGUUGUAAACUUCUUUUAUAAAGGAAUAAAGUCGGGUAUGCAUACCCGUUUGCAUGUACUUUAUGAAUAAGGAUCGGCUAACUCCGUGCCAGCAGCCGCGGUAAUACGGAGGAUCCGAGCGUUAUCCGGAUUUAUUGGGUUUAAAGGGAGCGUAGAUGGAUGUUUAAGUCAGUUGUGAAAGUUUGCGGCUCAACCGUAAAAUUGCAGUUGAUACUGGAUGUCUUGAGUGCAGUUGAGGCAGGCGGAAUUCGUGGUGUAGCGGUGAAAUGCUUAGAUAUCACGAAGAACUCCGAUUGCGAAGGCAGCCUGCUAAGCUGCAACUGACAUUGAGGCUCGAAAGUGUGGGUAUCAAACAGGAUUGGAUACCCUGGUAGUCCACACGGUAAACGAUGAAUACUCGCUGUUUGCGAUAUACGGCAAGCGGCCAAGCGAAAGCGUUAAGUAUUCCACCUGGGGAGUACGCCGGCAACGGUGAAACUCAA
This 860-nucleotide ribosomal RNA is filed under the name uncultured bacterium. RNAcentral's name for it is "bacterial SSU rRNA". It matches the Rfam family "Bacterial small subunit ribosomal RNA", at positions 54 to 904 of the family's 1533-position model. The record is from RNAcentral.